GCCACAUCGGGCGUAUAAAACUUGGCCUGCUCUUCGGGUCCAUCCUUGGCGCCCAGGGGCUGUAGACCAAGCGGCCCGGAACCGGCCAGGGUAUUAUGAUAACUCCCGCAAUAUUCGAUGGAGAAGGAGGAGGCUGCUAGGCAGAAGAACCAAGGAACGUGGAACGAAGGUGAAACCACUGAGUCACCUUGGCGACUACGUCCUGCCAACCAGAACUCCAAGCUGUUCAACUCCUCUGCAGCGGGCAGAGCAGAACGAGCUUCCCGGACUUGGUGUGGAAGGACAGAAGAGCCAGAGUCACUCGGCGGGGAACAGCACGGCUCGCCCAGGCAGCAGGCUAGCGGCGUUGCUCCGCUCAGCGCCUCCAAGGCCGCUGGCGGGUUCGGAGUUCUGGCGAACAGGGGCCUGAGCAGGAGGGGCGGCGCUCCCUCGUCGGGGGCAAUGUGGCAGCCCCCUCCGCAGGCCCUCCGGUUUAGCUUGGCCAGAGGGCUAUGGGUCCUCCUCCCCUGCCUCGGUCCCAAGAAACCCAGCGGCCGCGUGACUGGCGGCCACCCCAACCUGCAGCCCGCCUCGCGGUCCCCGAGCCAAGCUGGAAUUGGUUAGACCGCCAGCUCCGGCACGGAGACCACACAGGCGCCGCCGGAGGGCAAGGCUGACCACCGCGCUGAGACUUUAUUGAGCUACAGACUCCCCAGGCCCAAAAGCUCCAGCUCCAGGGAUCCCUGGAGUCUCAUCUCCUCCCGUCUCAGCAUGCAGCGAUGCUCCGG
Molecule: long non-coding RNA, 767 nt
Organism: Neofelis nebulosa (Clouded leopard)
Lineage: Eukaryota; Metazoa; Chordata; Mammalia; Carnivora; Felidae
Exons: 4
Source: RefSeq, a predicted model, not a curated record